RNAcentral lists this ribosomal RNA (400 nucleotides) under Vibrio alginolyticus. RNAcentral's name for it is "bacterial SSU rRNA". It matches the Rfam family "Bacterial small subunit ribosomal RNA", at positions 396 to 788 of the family's 1533-position model. The record is from RNAcentral. Lineage: Bacteria; Pseudomonadati; Pseudomonadota; Gammaproteobacteria; Vibrionales; Vibrionaceae.
GCCGCGUGUAUGAAGAAGGCCUUCGGGUUGUAAAGUACUUUCAGUCGUGAGGAAGGCGGCGUCGUUAAUAGCGGCGUUGUUUGACGUUAGCGACAGAAGAAGCACCGGCUAACUCCGUGCCAGCAGCCGCGGUAAUACGGAGGGUGCGAGCGUUAAUCGGAAUUACUGGGCGUAAAGCGCAUGCAGGUGGUUUGUUAAGUCAGAUGUGAAAGCCCGGGGCUCAACCUCGGAAUAGCAUUUGAAACUGGCAGACUAGAGUACUGUAGAGGGGGGUAGAAUUUCAGGUGUAGCGGUGAAAUGCGUAGAGAUCUGAAGGAAUACCGGUGGCGAAGGCGGCCCCCUGGACAGAUACUGACACUCAGAUGCGAAAGCGUGGGGAGCAAACAGGAUUAGAUACCCU